RNAcentral lists this ribosomal RNA (253 nucleotides) under uncultured bacterium. RNAcentral describes it as "partial 16S ribosomal RNA". It matches the Rfam family "Bacterial small subunit ribosomal RNA", at positions 524 to 776 of the family's 1533-position model. The record is from RNAcentral.
UACGUAGGGGGCUAGCGUUGUCCGGAAUCAUUGGGCGUAAAGCGCGUGUAGGCGGUCCGGUAAGUCCGCUGUGAAAGUCGGGGGCUCAACCCUCGAAUGCCGGUGGAUACUGUCGGGCUAGAGUGCGGAAGAGGCGAGUGGAAUUCCUGGUGUAGCGGUGAAAUGCGCAGAUAUCAGGAAGAACACCCGUGGCGAAGGCGGCUCUCUGGGACAGUACUGACGCUGAGACGCGAAAGCGUGGGGAGCGAACAGG